This 421-nucleotide ribosomal RNA is filed under the name uncultured bacterium. RNAcentral describes it as "bacterial SSU rRNA". It matches the Rfam family "Bacterial small subunit ribosomal RNA", at positions 355 to 774 of the family's 1533-position model. The record is from RNAcentral.
UAAGGAAUAUUGGUCAAUGGACGCAAGUCUGAACCAGCCAUGCCGCGUGAAGGAUGAAGGUCCUCUGGAUUGUAAACUUCUUUUAUCUGGGACGAAAACGGGAUUUUUAUCUCAAUUGACGGUACCAGAGGAAUAAGCACCGGCUAACUCCGUGCCAGCAGCCGCGGUAAUACGGAGGGUGCGAGCGUUAUCCGGAUUUACUGGGUUUAAAGGGUGCGUAGGUGGGCUUAUAAGUCAGUGGUGAAAUCUCCGAGCUUAACUUGGAAACUGCCGUUGAUACUAUAGGUCUUGGAUUAUCUGGAGGUAAGCGGAAUAUGUCAUGUAGCGGUGAAAUGCUUAGAUAUGACAUAGAACACCAAUUGCGAAGGCAGCUUACUACAUAUAAAUUGACGCUGAGGCACGAAAGCGUGGGGAUCAAACA